This is a long non-coding RNA of Topomyia yanbarensis, 2117 nucleotides long. RefSeq lists it as uncharacterized. The record is from RefSeq and is a predicted model, not a curated record. The transcript is spliced from 4 exons. Lineage: Eukaryota; Metazoa; Arthropoda; Insecta; Diptera; Culicidae.
UCGUGACGGUACAGCAUCCGUGUGUGCUAGUCGAGUCAACCGUAGAGGACUGGUUUUAGCCUGGCGGUUACGAUAUCGAGUUUUUCUAUUUGAAAAAUUUCCAGUGUUUGGUCCGGAAUCGGACACGGACGGACUGCCGGAGUGAGAUUGGGUUCAGUUUUCGUACCUAGGUCUGUGCUGUUGCAGACUCACUAAUCUAGGUCGGGUGAGGAUUCCGUUCAGUGGAACCACUAUCGGGAAUGAAAAAUUGUACCCUUGUUGUUGUUGUUGUUGCCGUUGUCGUCGGUUCGGGAACUGGGCGCGUGAAGUGAUUUUUUGCUGUUGUUGUGAGAUGCUCUAUUUGGGGUAAUUGAAUUAAUCAAUGGUUGUCGGGGGAGAGUGCGUCUUUUUUUCGUCCGGCUCAGGAGGGGGUGGCUUCGGACUGCUCUCGGACUGACUUCCGACUGACUGUGUCUGUUUCAACGGCACACGCACAGUGAAUAGCAGACAACAGCAGAAAAGUGAGUGAGAUUACAGUGAUCAAUGUUGCGUAAUAUUAAUGUUAAUGGGUCUCGCUUUUUUUACGCCCGUUUGUUGUUAUAAUCUAGUGAAAUCGACAAGUCCUUUUCGGUUUCUUCUCGGAACGACGGCGCACUGAGUUGGGCGUGGGAGUUCAUGAAUGAUGCUGUGAGCAGCGGCGACGGAAGGGGAACAAAAGAAGAGCACUAAAUGACAUCCAAGCGAAACGGAAGUGGUCAGUUGAAGGAAUUCUAUCCGCUUAGCAUAAGUUCCAAUUAGUUUCCGGAAGGUCGACUUCUGAACAUGGGGAAAAAAGUAUCUACGAUCGGCGAUUUUUUUUUUCGUUGGUAGGAAAGUAAGUCAGUGACAAGUUUUCCGUCUGUACGCUUCCGGGCGGCAUACGUUAAUGUAAUUAUAGAGAAGAAGUGUCCGAAAGUCGUCAGCUGAGGGGGAAGAAAAAAUUUCCCACUGGUUCGUGCUGGGCUUUGCGACUGCUGCUGGUGAAUACGGUGCUGGUGCUGGUUCGGAAGCGGAAGUGAAGUGUUGCUCCGUUAGUGUCGCCACAUUGAAGUGUGUAGUGUUUCUUUUGGGCGGGGGUGGUCAGGAUUCGGGUGUGAAAGGAACAUCAUCGGUGGCGUCAUCUUCGUCUUCAGUUUCGUCGGAGUCGCAGCUGCUACUACUGCCUGCUUGUUGGCUGAACGUGUACAAACUAGGGUAAUAUUAUUUUCGUGGAAAGUCUGCCUCUCGAUUCCGUGCCCACCGAAACCGAAGAUCGCAUCAUGUGUCGGGCUGCUGCCGAACGGUGUAAUAUAAUUACCGACCAAACCACCACCACCGUCGCGGUCGGGGGACAGGAAAGGAAGAACUAGCUAUUCUGCUGUGUGGUGGCUUGUGGCGUGCGAUGAAAAGUGCAUCCCCCGAAAAGAGACUAGAGCCUAGCGCGGGAGGAGGCCAAUCCUGCUGAGUUUCCCAUCAGUGAAGCCGUAGCAGGAGCCUUUCGGCAACGAAAUACACGGUGCAGAAUCAAAUUCCAAUCCAAUCGAUUCCUAUUUGGAUUUCUUCCGCUUCAUCUCACGUGGCUGACUGGUUUGGGGAUCGCGUGGCGAAAAAGAAAAGAGAGGUGAAAUUUUUCGUUCUGCUGUCGAAGGAAAUAAAUAUUGCCGAAGCGUAGGAAGGUUCCACACUCGACAACAGAGACUGCGGACAGGUAUCACCAACUCGCAGAGUAGCAUAAUUUCACCUUUGACUAAGAGAAGAAUAGGAGAAAAAAAACUACGGCGCGCACGAUACAACCAAGGUUUACAAGUGAAUCAAAGUGAGGGUUGUGAACGUGCAAACGGUUAGCAAAAAGAGAAGAAUAGUUGUACAACAAGAAUACCUCCCAUUGUUUAAGCUUUCCAGUCAGAGUCAGCGUGGUGGUAUUGUGGGAAGUUAGUCAGUGAAAGGUUGAAACAAAUCGAAAAAAGGAACCCAGCUCAGCAUCGCGCAGCUUCCAGCAGACUCCAGGUCGAGCAGCUAGUCUGGCGAUUCGGCGGUGAAGGAAACAAAAGGAAAAGUCAUUCCGCUUGUUGAUUAAAUUUAAGGUGAGUUCUGUCUUGAGGGCCAUUCGUACUAAUUUG